GACAGAGGAUGCAAGCGUUAUCCGGAAUGAUUGGGCGUAAAGCGUCUGUAGGUGGUUUAUUAAGUCUACUGUUAAAGAUCAGGGCUUAACCCUGAGCAGGCAAUAGAAACUAAUAGGCUAGAGUACGGUAGGGGCAGAGGGAAUUCUCGGUGUAGCGGUGAAAUGCGUAGAUAUCGAGAGGAACACCUGCGGCGAAGGCGGGUUGCUGGGCUGAUACUGACGCUGAGGCGCGAAAGCCGGGUGGGCGCAAACAGGG
RNAcentral lists this ribosomal RNA (256 nucleotides) under uncultured bacterium. RNAcentral's name for it is "partial 16S ribosomal RNA". It matches the Rfam family "Bacterial small subunit ribosomal RNA", at positions 524 to 777 of the family's 1533-position model. The record is from RNAcentral.